Molecule: ribosomal RNA, 479 nt
Filed under: Streptococcus pneumoniae
Lineage: Bacteria; Bacillati; Bacillota; Bacilli; Lactobacillales; Streptococcaceae
Description: bacterial SSU rRNA
Rfam family: Bacterial small subunit ribosomal RNA
Source: RNAcentral
GACGAACGCGGCGGCGUGCCUAAUACAUGCAAGUAGAACGCUGAAGGAGGAGCUUGCUUCUCUGGAUGAGUUGCGAACGGGUGAGUAACGCGUAGGUAACCUGCCUGGUAGCGGGGGAUAACUAUUGGAAACGAUAGCUAAUACCGCAUAAGAGUAGAUGUUGCAUGACAUUUGCUUAAAAGGUGCACUUGCAUCACUACCAGAUGGACCUGCGUUGUAUUAGCUAGUUGGUGUGGUAACGGCUCACCAAGGCGACGAUACAUAGCCGACCUGAGAGGGUGAUCGGCCACACUGGGACUGAGACACGGCCCAGACUCCUACGGGAGGCAGCAGUAGGGAAUCUUCGGCAAUGGACGGAAGUCUGACCGAGCAACGCCGCGUGAGUGAAGAAGGUUUUCGGAUCGUAAAGCUCUGUUGUAAGAGAAGAACGAGUGUGAGAGUGGAAAGUUCACACUGUGACGUAUCUACCAGAAAGGACG